GCGGACUCCAUGGAGCAGGGGAAAACUGGUCGGGGAAGAAACCAACUCCUUUUGCGCCUUCAGAAGGCGAAGCCACCGGGCAGGAACAGCUGCCUCUGCAGAUCCGUGCGGCGAUAGUACAAGGCAGAGGGCGUUGGAUUUGCUGAGCCAUCCGGGGUUGAACAACAAACUCGCCACAGCCAUGCUGCUUGGGGAAACGGCAGGGAUUGUGGUCACGGUCCCUCUGGUUUUCAGACCUGGAUAAAAGAUCUGAAGUAAUUUUAAGUUGAGACUCUAUUCCCAGACCUGUCAACAAUAUAGUAUGAGUCCCAGAACUGAGUACUUUCAUUAUUACUCACCAAACUUUCUUUUUUUUUUUUUUUUUUUUUUUUUUUGAGACGGAGUCUCGCUCUGUCGCCCAGGCUGGAGUGCAGUGGCGCUAUCUCGGCUCACUGCAAGCUCCGCCUCCCGGGUUUACGCCAUUCUCCUGCCUCAGCCUCCCGAGUAGCUGGGACUACAGGCGCCCGCCACCUCGCCCGGCUAAUUUUUUUUGUAUUUUUAGUAGAGACGGGGUUUCAUUGUGUUAGCCAGGAUGGUCUCGAUCUCCUGACCUCGUGAUCCGCCCGUCUCGGCCUCCCAAAGUGCUGGGAUUACAGGCUUGAGCCACCGCGCCCAGCCACUCACCAAACUUUCAAGUGUGUCUGCUGACAUCUCCGUGCUCAGUCUGCUGGACUAUUGAUGUGAGCACUGCUCUGCUCCAGAGAAGCUCUUAGCACGUCCCAGUGGUGUUCAAAAUCUAACCCGAUCUCAAGGGUUCGUGAGGAAACCAAGGAUUGCCCGGCCAGGCUCAAGUAUUCCUCAUCCUUCUUCCUUCUGUCAUCAUUUGAGAAUGGUCACUGUAAGUGGCAUGAUUUGGUAACCAGAGGUCCUGAGCACAAAGGUUCUCAAGCCUGAACAGAUAUCGGAACCACUCACCUGGAGGGUUGGGCACACCGAUUGCCAGCCCUUACCCCAAGUUUCUAACUCAGUGAGUCUCGUGGGCGUGGGGGGCAAGAAUGCCCAUUUCCAGCAUUCUAGGCGGAGUCCCAGGUGAUGCUGACCACUAUGCUGCUUAGUUCAGUCCACUACUUCUUGACCACACCUGAGAGCUGAAGAGAAAGGAGCAACUUAUGCCUGCAGGUGACCUAGGGUAGGGACCCCAGGGCCCCAGGGGCUUCAGACCCAUUACACAAGGACCCCUCCCUGGGCAGACCUACCUGCAGAUGAGCUCUCAAUCCUGAGGUUCCUGUGGCCAGGGCAGGGGGAAAGGGAGGUGCCGCCUUCCUCCCUCACGUCAGUGCCCAGGCUCCGGGGACCGCAGGUGCCGUGGCCACAGCUUCUGGUUGUCCUCAUUGCAGGAAGAAAAGGGCUCCUUCCUAGAGUUCUCUGCAGUUCGUAGGCUGACGGCUCCCAUGCUGUCUCGGAAGGGAGGGCGACACUCAGUAGGAGGGGAUCUGACACUCUCUACUCAGAAACUCCUGCCUGCAACAGCCUCUCUGGCCGUGUGUUUGCAUUUUGGGCCUUUCUUCUCUGAUGAUAGAGUGUACGGCUUUGUCUCCCAUUCCCAGCAAAGGAAUUCCAGGCUUUGGGAAGCAUGCUGGGAUCCUUUGAUGCGGGCUGGGCCGCUGGCAAAAAAGAAUGUGUGUGAAGGAAUGCCGGGGGCAGGGCCAGCUAGGUCCGCGGAGUACUUGAGGCCGAUGCCUGUCCUGUCCACGCCCACCUGAGGCCUGUGCCACAUCCCCGACGUGAGAGUCCAGAGCCCACCCCCAGGCCUGUGCCACAUCCCGGAUGUGAGAGUCCAGAGCCGUUCCCACUGCCUGGCUGUCCCCACGCCACGGCCCACGCGUGGUGUGGCUCCCCCGCCUCAAGCUUCCCAUCUCCCUGGAGUUUGCCAGAAGGCUGGGGGUUCUGGGAUGGGUCUGAGUCCCUGCUGGCUCCCUUCCUAUGCUGUGUGAAAAAUGCUCUUUGAGCCUCAGUGUUUUGUUCACGCAGCACAAGGAGAGCUUAAUAAAUGGGUGCUUCUGUUGUUA
Macaca mulatta (Rhesus monkey) is the source of this 2048-nucleotide long non-coding RNA. The record is from Ensembl. NCBI's taxonomy places the organism in Eukaryota, Metazoa, Chordata, Mammalia, Primates, Cercopithecidae.